This is a long non-coding RNA of Salvelinus namaycush (lake trout), 697 nucleotides long. RefSeq lists it as uncharacterized. The record is from RefSeq and is a predicted model, not a curated record. The transcript has 2 exons. Lineage: Eukaryota; Metazoa; Chordata; Actinopteri; Salmoniformes; Salmonidae.
CUACAGGAGCCAGAGGUGGUGCUACAGGAGCCAGAGGUGGUACUACAGGAGCCAGAGGUGGUACUACAGGAGCCGGAGGUGGUGCUACAGGAGACAGAGGUGUUGCUCUGUUAGGCUUCGGGGGAAUACUUAUUGCGUACAAAAAACGUUUUGGAGCCAGCGGUGGAACCAUAGAAGUUGAAGGAAAUAACCAUCAAGGAAAUGUUAUUGUUGAGACAGAGCUUUUGUACAGGUGUAGGCAGGCACCAGACAAUCUAGAGGCAGACUGAUGGGACAUUUCUUUAUAUACAGGUCCAUAAAUUGGACAUGUCAGUGUACUGUAUCCCAACGGAAUCUACCUCUUCUAUUGCAAAUAUCUCCCUAUUAAUAGCCAGCUAUUAGAAAAUAUUUUCAAAUACUGUCACAGGUUGGGUGUACUCCCUGAGGUUGCCACUGGAGGGCACCCUUUUGUUAUUUCUUGUGUCCAGGUGAUCCUGAUUGGUCUUAUUGGGUUCACCUGUUGAAUGACUAUUUAGGUUCCUCUGUGGUUUGGGCCGGUUGUUGAGGUCUCUUGUUUUGUUUAGUGUACUCGUAUGCUAUUGCUUUGUUGUUUUGCUGUGAAGACUGAAGUUCACCGUUACCUCUGUGUAACAGAUAUAUAAUGUACUCUCCAUGCGUUGUGUUUUCUCAUAAUAAAUCACUUCGGCCAGUGGUCCCA